Molecule: long non-coding RNA, 242 nt
Filed under: Elaeis guineensis (African oil palm)
Lineage: Eukaryota; Viridiplantae; Streptophyta; Magnoliopsida; Arecales; Arecaceae
Description: long non-coding RNA (EGUI_LNC057206)
Source: RNAcentral
AGAGAAGAAGUCCCUAGGUGGUGGGAAGAAGGUUGAAGGUGCUGGAACUAACCUAUAUCGCUCUGAGGGACCAGAGGGACGAAGACAGGGACGAUUUGGAAGACACCUACGGCUCGAGAAGAUGCCCACUGAAACAGGGCUCUCGAAGAGAAGGCAGACGCUGAUAGAAACUCUGGAAUGGAAUAGGGCACCUAAAGGUGGGAGGACGGGUUUAAAUAGACCCUGGGAUCCGGCGCCAUAAU